AUGCCGGACAGGUCACGUGGAGAGACUCUGCUUAAUUCCAAGGUUCUGAGUGUAAAACUUGUGUGUUUUGACAUUGCUAGGCCGCUGUUGAACAUCGGUUGUGCAGGUCAGGUACAGCUAAGCGUGACGACCUUAUACAAGAGGGCAACAGCACUCAAAAGAACCCAAACGAUGCAGCAGAACCUCUCCUCCUCUCAACCUAGCGUCCCUUCAACCCAGGGAGCUAAAAAAGAAGAUGCAUGAGGCACAACCAAUAAUAUGUCAUUGUAUCCACACCCCUCCCCUCCCCCUGCAUCUACCGCUCCGAUUUGACCUGCUCCAACCCAUCUAUCUACUUAACCUGACUAAGAAAGGUGAGAAUCACAGACACAACCAAGCACAUUUAGUCAACAUAGCUGCUGAUUUUAAAAUAUAAUACAUUUGGGUUUUUAAAAAAUUCAUCCUAUACAGGGAAAAGAGCUGACAAUUAAAACCACGUGUGGAAUGUAUUAAUUUGUGGGUUCAGAUAAUGUUCUGAGUGGAAACAGACUGUGCUGCCAUUGAUGUUACUACAGCACUCCAAUUUUAGAAGAGUCCUCAGCUUGGCAGAGAACCCAAUUCACCAGGAUGGUUCAGUAUAUCCCUGAAAUCAGCAAUUCAUUGAGUGAAAUUAGGAAGUUCAUAUACCGGUACUUUUUAAGCGCUUGUUUCUGUGGAGAAAACUGAUCAGUUUAACUUAUUCGCUCUACAAUAUCUCCUGUCUCGUGUUUGUCUUUAGGGUAAAAACGCCAAGGGAACAUAAAGAGCAUCUGGAAAUAUUAAGGCCAGAGUGAAUCUUCGCCUGCUUGAUCCCUCACAGGCAUCAUAAGUGUGGAGAUUCAGUCCGAGGGUGUCUGUGGAUCACAUGGAUCACACGCAAUGAUGCCAUUUCUGCUGUCUAUAGGCACCAUGCAGUGGCCAGAAUCUGCUCAAUCUCAUAACCAUUCUGGAGGUGAUUGUUGGGAUUAGACUGUCAGCAAAAUCUGUUAAUGGUGUCCAAUGGUGUUCUGGUAGUAGGGGAAGGUGCCAGAUAACCUUCAGAGCACUGCCAAGGUACCCUUGAGCAAGGUGCAGAACUGACAAAUGCUCAUAUAGGGCCUUGAACUGGAGACUCAUCCAGGGGUGGACACCUGCCUUCACUCACUGUGUACCCUCCCGCGAUAAAGCCGUUAAGAUGAGACACAGGUUGGGUUAGAAAAUGUUCUUUAUAUGCUGUAGAUUUUACUGUGGUGAAUAAAGUUUUUGCUUCUUCAUUUGGGCUUUUCUUAAUUAUUUUAAGUGUCACGUAAGCAGAAUGAUGUUUAUGUUAGACUGUACACAGCGCGUGAAUGCAGCCUUGCUAAAUUUGAAUGUUGCAUGUUCAGACUUACAUAAGCAUUUUCAAACAGUGUCUCUGUGUGUGUGUGUGUGCACGUGUGUGCGCCCGUAAAGGUGUGUGUUAGCAGUUAGAGCGUGGGAAUAUGGUGAAGGAUUUCUGUGGUAUUUAAAUGUUUGUUAUUAGAUAUUACCACAAGGGACCUUGACCAAACCCCCAGAUCUUCCUCCUCGUCUUCCUCUAAUAACAGAAAAGCCCAAGAAUCGCUUGAGGUGCGUAAAACUAUUGUUUAAAAAAAAAAAAGUCAAAGAAAUUUGGGGUCAUGCUGUAUAUAUGGGUGUAGGGUGAUUCUGAGGCGAACACUUCAGUAAAUAAAUAGUUAAAAUGUUUUAAUGUAAUUGGUUUUAUUUUGUGGACAGAAAUUUUUUAUAAAAGUUGUUUCACUCCCCUUAUUUUGAUGUAUUUUUCUGUGUAUUUUGAUGUGUUUCAAUGAUUUGAUCCAACCCCUAAACCUGCGUUUGCAUGGAUCAAAACCUUUUAAACUAACAUGACACUGCUCUCCAGUCCAGUUCUUCUGUCCUUAGCAGCUUAUCCAGAAUUUGAAUCUUGAAGGGGGGGUGUGUUUGAAUAAUCCCUGAUAAUUAAUUAAUGAAAG
Long non-coding RNA from Takifugu rubripes (torafugu), 1988 nucleotides. The record is from Ensembl. NCBI's taxonomy places the organism in Eukaryota, Metazoa, Chordata, Actinopteri, Tetraodontiformes, Tetraodontidae.